This 284-nucleotide ribosomal RNA is filed under the name Comamonas sp. July_NA4B4. Its description in RNAcentral is "partial 16S ribosomal RNA". It matches the Rfam family "Bacterial small subunit ribosomal RNA", at positions 1086 to 1372 of the family's 1533-position model. The record is from RNAcentral. Lineage: Bacteria; Pseudomonadati; Pseudomonadota; Betaproteobacteria; Burkholderiales; Comamonadaceae.
CCCGCAACGAGCGCAACCCUUGCCAUUAGUUGCUACAUUCAGUUGAGCACUCUAAUGGGACUGCCGGUGACAAACCGGAGGAAGGUGGGGAUGACGUCAAGUCCUCAUGGCCCUUAUAGGUGGGGCUACACACGUCAUACAAUGGCUGGUACAAAGGGUUGCCAACCCGCGAGGGGGAGCUAAUCCCAUAAAGCCAGUCGUAGUCCGGAUCGCAGUCUGCAACUCGACUGCGUGAAGUCGGAAUCGCUAGUAAUCGUGGAUCAGAAUGUCACGGUGAAUACGUU